RNAcentral lists this ribosomal RNA (354 nucleotides) under Triticum aestivum (bread wheat). RNAcentral's name for it is "partial small subunit ribosomal RNA". Lineage: Eukaryota; Viridiplantae; Streptophyta; Magnoliopsida; Poales; Poaceae. The record is from RNAcentral.
AUGUGGAAGUUAUAUCCGCUGUUUUGUUGUAUUAAUUUGUUUUGUUCAUCUUGUGUAUUGACCUUUGCAAGUUUCAGGUAUGCCCAACCUGUCAUAUCUCUAUGUUGCGGAUUUUAUCAAGGUCUUACAAGAAAAACAUGCAUCCAACACCUACGCAAAAAUGACCUCAAUAUUUAUGUCACAACAGCAUCUAAUGCAGAAGAAAGCACCUGGGGUACAUACUGCCCAGGAAUGGAGCCAUCGCCUCCUUCUGAGUAUAUUACCUGCUUAGGUGAUCUCUACAGUAUUUCCUGGAUGGAAGACAGCAGCCGUAUGUGCACUGCUUGUGCUGGGCGCCGAUCUGGAGGCCCCUGA